GGCAUAUUAAAGGAUUUUUAUUCAUUUCUUUGGAAUGUUGUAUAGUGUUUUUACAUUAAGUAUUAACUAAAGUCGUCCUAACCUUCUUGGCUUCAAUUGUUAGUGUCAUUCCUUACCAGGUUUUGAUUAUUAAAUGGGUUGGAUACUAUAUGCAUUGUUAUGGAUGUUAAGUGUUAACAGUAUGUUUAAAUAGCCAUUUGUUUUAUCAUUAGCACGACUCAAGUCUUUUGAAUUUGUACUCCUUAUCUAGAUCAACACUAUUUAAUUCAAUCGAGCCACUUUCCAUAUAUUUGUUAGAGAAUUGCUAUGAUUUGUCUUGGGUAUAUUUUUGCUCUAUUAAUUUCGGAUACUAAUCAAUUUUUUUCAGUUCUAUUACAUGUGAUACCAAUCUGAGUUCAUUUUGGACUCAUUCCCUUCAUUUAUUUGAUUCAAAAAAUUUCGACUCAGCCCCAUCAAUGUCCG
Molecule: unclassified non-coding RNA, 462 nt
Filed under: Hevea brasiliensis (rubber tree)
Lineage: Eukaryota; Viridiplantae; Streptophyta; Magnoliopsida; Malpighiales; Euphorbiaceae
Source: RNAcentral